This 2010-nucleotide long non-coding RNA is filed under the name Homo sapiens (human). Its description in RNAcentral is "non-protein coding lnc-CFAP74-1:2". The record is from RNAcentral. Lineage: Eukaryota; Metazoa; Chordata; Mammalia; Primates; Hominidae.
CAGCCGCGCCCCCUCCCUCGCGGGCAGCUCUCCCUGGCCGGGGUCUGGCUCUCCGGGACCGCUGCCCUCACGCGCCGCAGACGGGACCCUCCGGGUGUCUUCAUGGGAGGCGACACCGGCACAAGCCCCGCGUGGACACUGUGGCCCACGGGCGCGGCAGAACCUCGUCCCGAGGCGGUUUGUGGGGGGUCGCACGUCUGCGUGGCUGCUUCUGGCUGCGCCGGCGGUGGGUGGGGAGGGGGCCAGUCCCUGCAGCUGUCAGGAGAGAGACCCCCACCAGCGGCUGCUUCCAAAACCCUCCUGCCUUCGCGGGAGCUGGGGCCAGGCGACUUUGGGAGCAAGUCCUGAUCCCUGGGGACCCUCGACGGGGGCGGGGAGAGGAAAAGCAGGUGGGGGCUGCGCCGCAGGCCGCAGUUCUGACUCUCCACACCUCUCAUGGCCCCAGGCCCGCCCUCCACACCCCUAGGAUCUGGGAAAGGGAAGGCCUCACACUCUCCUGCCUUGGAUCUUUUGAACAUAAAGUUGCGCUGCCAUUUCCUGAAGCUGCUCACAAACUUUAAUCAUUGUUGUGUCAGUUAUUCACUUCUGGGCUCGCGAUGUCGCUGACAGCACAGUGUCAACCCCUCGUGAAAACACUUAAAAAUGGCGAAGCUGUCCCCGAGGCUGCGUGCUUCUGGAUGAAGGGCCCUGGCCGCACAGGGGCAGGUGGAGGAAAGUGCAGAGAGGGAUUUGCUUCGGAAUUUCCAGCCCAAUCCCUACUGUGGGAAGUGGAAGAAUGAGGCUGGUUCCAGUUUGCUUGCUUUAUUUAUGUUAUGUUAUGUUAUGUUAUGUUAUGUUAUGUUAUGUUAUGUUAUGUUAUGUUAUUUUUCGAGAUGGAAUCUGGCUCUGUUACCCAGGCUGGAGCACAAUCUCGGCUCACUGCAACUUCUGCCUCCCAGGUUCAAGCAAGUCUCCUGCCACAGCUUCCCGAGUAGGUGGGAUUACAGGCACCUGCCACCACGCUCGGUUAUUUUUUUGUAUCUUUAGUACAGACGGAAUUUCACCAUGUUGGCCAGGCUGGUCUCGAACUCCUGACCCCGUGAUCCGCCCGCCUCGGCCUCCCAAAGUGCUGGGAUUACAGGCGUGAGCCACUGCACCCAGCCCUAGCCUGCUUUCUUAAAUCAAGGAACGGGGCUCUAACAAGCCCAACAGGUCUCAACUCCAAGGCCCCCUUCCCGGCUGCUCACUGGCCCCUGCCGAGAGGGGUCCUUUGGGUACAGAAGCACUGACCUCCCUGUGUUCCCGGGGUUCCUGUCCGAGCCUGUGCUCUGCACACGUGCCCCUUCCCACGUGUCCCUUCCAUGGAUUAAUUUAGGAGUUAAUUCAUGAAGAGGUGCCCAGAGCUUGGCCCGGCCCCCGGUGAGAGGCAUUAUUUUUAUUCUUCCCCCUCCAGAACAGGGGUCUUGUCCGUCUUCUCCUUGGUGGUGUAUUGGAUGAAGUAGGUGCUCAGCAAAUGUAGGAGGAGGUGCAGACUCCACAUCUGCAAAGUCCAUGCACCCACUGCGGCCAGCACGCCAUCACUGCCUCCGGACAGUGCCCCGCCCUCCCUGUCUUUCCUUCCUGAGCUUUGGAACUAAGCAGUGAGAGUGGUUCAUGGUCGCAAUCCCUUCAAUAUCUGCGAAGAGCUUAUCUGAGGAUAUCUUGGUGCUGAUCACCUCUGAGAAGCAGCGUUGAUCUUGACUCACUGGAUCCGAUUCAUUCAGGAUAAGCCACACCCUAUUGCCAUUUUCUUCACGCUCCUCUAUUAUCUGGGGCAUAAAAUUAACAUUCAAUUUUCUUCUUUUUCUUUUAAGAGACAAGGUCUUGCUCUGUGGCCCAGGCUGGAGUGCAGUGGCACGAUCUCAGCUCACUGUAGCCUCCACCUCCCGGGUUCAAGGGAUCCUUGCACCUCAGCUUCUGGAGGAGCUGGGACCACAGAGGUUUCUGCAAGGUUUGAAGUCUGCACACUUCAUUUCCAUUCUUUAUUGUUCC